CUGGGCGUGCUGCGGACAUAUGAAGUGGACGUGGGUGUCGAUGCCGCCCGCGGUGAUGAUCUUGCCCUCGCCGGCGACGACGUCGGUGCAGCUGCCGACCACCAUGUKGGGCGUCACGCCGUCCAUGACGUCCGGGCUGCCGGCCUUGCCGAUGCCGACGAUGAGGCCGGCCUUGAUGCCGAUAUCCGCCUUGUAGAUGCCGGUCCAGUCGACGAUGAGGGCGUUCGUCACGACCACGUCGAGCGAGUCGGCGUCGGCGCGGCCGGUCGCCUGGCCCAUGCCCUCGCGCAG
RNAcentral lists this small RNA (291 nucleotides) under Tolypocladium ophioglossoides CBS 100239. Its description in RNAcentral is "5' ureB small RNA". It matches the Rfam family "5' ureB small RNA". The record is from Rfam by way of RNAcentral. Lineage: Eukaryota; Fungi; Ascomycota; Sordariomycetes; Hypocreales; Ophiocordycipitaceae.